This is a long non-coding RNA of Neltuma alba, 1988 nucleotides long. RefSeq lists it as uncharacterized. The transcript is spliced from 2 exons. The record is from RefSeq and is a predicted model, not a curated record. NCBI's taxonomy places the organism in Eukaryota, Viridiplantae, Streptophyta, Magnoliopsida, Fabales, Fabaceae.
UUGCUCUGGUUCGAUUUUCUCUCCUGACUAGUCUCCCUCUUCCUCGGAUUUUUGGUUCUUGUUUUUGGUUUUUGAACACAUCUUGCUUUCCAGCCUCAAUUUUGUUUUCUGGUUCUUGAAACAGGGUCAGUUGAUUGUUUUGGGUUCAAUUUUUGUUUUUUUUUUAAUUUAAAUAUUUGUUCUGGGUUUUGAGAUGUGGUUCUGCCAUAAAGUUUCAAAAUUCCUUAUCUUCAAUUUUGACAAUGGUUCUGCGAUGUUGGGUCUAAAAACAUUCACUUGGUUAUAUGAGUAUGUGUUUUGAGUCUAAUUUUAUGAGAGUUUAAUUUUAAUUCAGCUUAGAAAAGCAACAACAAUCUAUUUCCCGUUCUCUUGAUGUUUGUUAAGCUUGAUUUUAAAAAAGAAAAGGCAAGUCCAGCUUGGAGGUUACUUGGCACAUGUAAUCAAAUUAGUCCAGGAGACAGAAUCAGUCAAUUCUAUUAUGAAGUUUUUAAUUACAGAGUCGGAGAGUGAACAUUCAUAACAAUGCAUUCUACGUCGAGGAGAAGCUGCUUCAAUCAGAAUUAGAAGCAAUGCGUGAUUGUACCCCGUUAUUUGCUCGUCAUUAGAUUGUAAAGUGUUCACACUUGCUUCCCCCCACCCCCCCUUUACUCUAUUCUUUUAAUGUCCACGCUCUUUUUGAUCCAUGGUUGAUAUUAGGGGACAUGGGACAUCUCUGAAAUCUUGCAUGCUUCUAUACCCUACCAUUCCUAAUAAUGUUAAGGGUGAUUUGUACUUUAUAGUUUUGUGUUCAAUUGUUCAUAGCUCAAUGCUUCUACCUCCUCUUCUUUCUGACCUUGAUUUGAAUUGUCAAAGCAAUUUUGUUUAAUAUAUCAUAUUCAGUUAAUUUAGUUGAUUGAAUAUUAAUGGUUAAUGACUUGUUUGAAAUAUUGUUUUAAUAGCUUCCAACUACAGUUGCUAAAGUGAUUUCCUAGUUUAGGUAAGGAACACAAAGGCGAUCAAUAGAACUGGGCAGUUAACAGAUUAUAAGUUAGUUCCAAGCUGAAAUUACUUACCAUUAGCUGGUUCAGAGGCCAAGUUUCUAAGAAGAGUGGCUUUCUUGAAGCAUAACCUUUGUGUCACAGUUUAUAAAUCUGAUGAGAUGCAUCUUGAAGGAGGGUUCUCGAAUCAAAACUAACAUAUUGGAAAGGGUUUGGCUACUUGGGUUCAGCAAAAUCACUCAUUAGAAGAAGCUGAUAUUGUUCUUUGGUUAGUUUACUUGAUUCUACUUCUGUGAGAUAGUAUCUGCUAUGAUAAUGAUUGAGAAAUUCUUAAGUAAAAUCAGGUUUGCAAAAGAUUGGUUGUCUAAGCCAUUAAUCAGGAAGAGCCAAUGCACAAAUGUCUAGGAUAUCUUUUUGUCAAACCCACCUCUGACAUGCAUAUCUAUUUAUGAUAUUCUAGGUCUUUCAAUCCAUUGUAGACAUGAUUCGCCUAAGAAUCGCUAGUGCACUCUAUCAAAAUUCCACACAACUCUCACAUAUGUUACCAAUUAAGCUGAUCCAGCCUUGAACAUUUUUAAGUACACCUGACUUUAGAGAUGCAAGUACAAUUUAGCAUCUUUCAAAACAAAACUAAUAAUACUUUUGUUCAUGAUGCAGCAGCAUGGUUUUUUCAAUUGCUCACCAGCAGUGGAUGUACCACCUAGCACAAGUGAUGUGGAAGACAAGGAGGGUAGAUAUUGGCCAAUGGUUUAUUGAGCCAUUAAUUACACAGAUAUUGGGAUGGAAAUGGGAUGUAGCAAGAACUAUGCUAAAGUUUCUUUGUUUCUUGUACUUAAUAAAAAAUAUUGUAGCUUGAGUUAUGGAAGCAAAUUUCAUUUAUGAUUGUAUGUGUUUUCAUAGCCACUAGCCACUUAUUGGGAAUUAAAGCUUUGAUGGCUGUCAACUUGAUCAGCAGAAAGUGAGUUAUGUGAACAACAAACCAUUUUCUUGUAGAUCGUCAAGAGAUUUCAC